UUGGAGGGCAAGUCUGGUGCCAGCAGCCGCGGUAAUUCCAGCUCCAAUAGCGUAUAUUAAAGUUGUUGCAGUUAAAAAGCUCGUAGUUGAAUUUCGGGAUCAAUGUUUCGGUCAUGCCGUUGGUAUGUACUGAUAUUAUUGGUUUCUCACCUUCUAAAGAAUCAUAAUGCCAUUAAUUUGGUGUUUUGGGGAAUCAGGACUGUUACUUUGAAAAAAUUAGAGUGUUUAAAGCAGGCUCACGCUUGAAUACAUUAGCAUGGAAUAACGGAAUAGGACGUUUGAUUCUAUUUUGUUGGUUUCUAGGAUCGACGUAAUGAUUAAUAGGGAUAGUUGGGGGCAUUAGUAUUCAAUUGUCAGAGGUGAAAUUCUUGGAUUUAUUGAAGACUAACUACUGCGAAAGCAUUUGCCAAGGAUGUUUUCAUUAAUCAAGAACGAAAGUUAGGGGAUCGAAGACGAUCAGAUACCGUCGUAGUCUUAACCAUAAACUAUGCCGACUAGGGAUCGGAUGAUGUUAAUUUUAAUGACUCAUUCGGCGCCUUACGGGAAAC
This 548-nucleotide ribosomal RNA is filed under the name uncultured Funneliformis. RNAcentral's name for it is "SSU rRNA". It matches the Rfam family "Eukaryotic small subunit ribosomal RNA", at positions 548 to 1098 of the family's 1831-position model. Lineage: Eukaryota; Fungi; Glomeromycota; Glomeromycetes; Glomerales; Glomeraceae. The record is from RNAcentral.